RNAcentral lists this ribosomal RNA (329 nucleotides) under uncultured eukaryote. Its description in RNAcentral is "partial 18S ribosomal RNA". It matches the Rfam family "Eukaryotic small subunit ribosomal RNA", at positions 1470 to 1796 of the family's 1831-position model. The record is from RNAcentral.
CCCUUAGAUGUCCUGGGCCGCACGCGCGCUACACUGAGUGUCUGAGAUACGAGUCUGCCUGGUCCGGCAAGGUCUAGGUAAUCGCUAAAAGACACAUCAUGCUUGGGAUAGAUUAUUGCAAAUAUUAAUCUUGAACGAGGAAUUCCUAGUAAGCGCAAGCCAACAGCUUGCGUUGAUUACGUCCCUGCCCUUUGUACACACCGCCCGUCGCUACUACUGAUUGGAUGUUUAAGCGAGGUUCUCGAACUGCUAGCGACUUAGCUUCGGUGAGGUCGCAGUGUGGGAAGUGAACCUAGCUUUGGUGUCUAGAGGAAGUAAAAGUCGUAACA